RNAcentral lists this ribosomal RNA (492 nucleotides) under uncultured bacterium. RNAcentral describes it as "partial 16S ribosomal RNA". It matches the Rfam family "Bacterial small subunit ribosomal RNA", at positions 29 to 507 of the family's 1533-position model. The record is from RNAcentral.
AGUGAACGCUGGCGGUAGGCCUAACACAUGCAAGUCGAACGGCAGCACAGUAAGAGCUUGCUCUUACGGGUGGCGAGUGGCGGACGGGUGAGGAAUACAUCGGAAUCUACUUUUUCGUGGGGGAUAACGUAGGGAAACUUACGCUAAUACCGCAUACGACCUACGGGUGAAAGCAGGGGAUCUUCGGACCUUGCGCGAUUGAAUGAGCCGAUGUCGGAUUAGCUAGUUGGCGGGGUAAAGGCCCACCAAGGCGACGAUCCGUAGCUGGUCUGAGAGGAUGAUCAGCCACACUGGAACUGAGCCACGGUCAAGACUCCUACGGGAGGCAGCAGUGGGGAAUAUUGGACAAUGGGCGCAAGCCUGAUCCAGCCAUACCGCGUGGGUGAAGAAGGCCUUCGGGUUGUAAAGCCCUUUUGUUGGGAAAGAAAAGCAGCAGGUUAAUACCACGCUGUUCUGACGGUACCCAAAGAAUAAGCACCGGCUAACUUCGUG